RNAcentral lists this non-coding RNA (27 nucleotides) under Cricetulus griseus (Chinese hamster). Lineage: Eukaryota; Metazoa; Chordata; Mammalia; Rodentia; Cricetidae. The record is from RNAcentral.
UUCCUGGGCCGUUGUUUUAGAAUUGGU